AUACGUAGGGGGCGAGCGUUGUCCGGAAUGAUUGGGCGUAAAGGGCGCGUAGGCGGCCCGGUAAGUCUGGAGUGAAAGUCCUGUUUUUAAGAUGGGAAUUGCUUUUGAUACUGUCGGGCUUGAGUGCAGGAGAGGUAAGUGGAAUUCCCAGUGUAGCGGUGAAAUGCGUAGAGAUUGGGAGGAACACCAGUGGCGAAGGCGACUUACUGGACUGUAACUGACGCUGAGGCGCGAAAGUGUGGGGAGCAAACAGGAUUAGAUACCCUGGUAGUCCACGCUGUAAACGAUGAAUACUAGGUGUGCGGGGACUGACCCCCUGCGUGCCGCAGCUAACGCAAUAAGUAUUCCACCUGGGGAGUACGAUCGCAAGGUUGAAACUCAAAGGAAUUGACGGGG
Molecule: ribosomal RNA, 396 nt
Filed under: uncultured bacterium
Lineage: Bacteria
Description: partial 16S ribosomal RNA
Rfam family: Bacterial small subunit ribosomal RNA
Source: RNAcentral